UCCCGACCUCAAACCACAGGGAGAAUAAAGUUUGUGAAAUAUUAGUUUAAUAAGACAUGCGACUACUAUUAAGGAUCCAAGGGUUCUUAUUUAUUAUUCAUGGGGCCGUGUGAUUUAGGGGCGAGUGGGUCCACAGAGGCUCUGCUUGGCCGCCUCUCCCGCAGCCAACCCUCCCAGCUGCACUGGUUUCCAUCAUCCUCUCCUCCUACACUUGCUCACACUGCAGUGCUCACAGGGACCCCCCACCUCACCAGGUGUGGAGUGGAGGACAAGGUGGUCGCAGUUCUCCCCUGGCUGCCUGCCCUGGGCCCUGCUCUGUGGGAGUCUCUGAAAGGAGAAGGUCGUGGCUGCCCAAGUCCGGCCUGCGGAGGAGACCCUCAGCGUUGUAGCAGGCCGAGGGGCGGUCCCUUUUCUGUCUCCUCUUAAGGGUCCUGGGACCUCUGAGAGUUAGGUAGGCGAGUCAGGCCUAGAGCAGAUAGAGAGAGUCAGGAGGGGACUAGGUUAUACCUGCGCUAACUUGCUGUGUGACAUUGACAGGUGUCUUGCCUUCUCUGUCUCAGGCUUCCUCUAAAAUCAGAGCCCGGGUGGAUCAUCUAAAAGUUUCUCAGCAGGAAGGAAAUGGGCAGGUGUCUUGUGUGUCGUGUACAAUAUCUUCCUAGACGCACAAAAUCCGUCAUGGCAUCUCAGUGCCGCCAAAUUUCCUCUUCUGUGACUUCAUAGUCAGCUUCUUCUCUUCCCCCAAACGCAGACCCUCGGUCCUGGCUUCUUUGGUCAUACGUUAGAGUUGCUCGCUCUUGAACUUUGUAGUAGUAAAGUCACGUACCUUAUACAACACGUGGUUGUCAACAGUUUCCUCCUUUUCCAUUGUUGAGCAACACUCCACGGGUGUGAUUGGCAAGCUGUGAAUCCAUCCACCACCGUGAUCACGCAGGCGUCCGGUGUUUGGUGCUCAUGAAUGACAGCUUCCAGGAGUGUCUGCAGCCUCUUGGAUUCUAUUUCCCUUGGGUAAAUAUUUAUGAAUGAACUUGCUAAGUCAAAAGGAUAUAUUUACACACAAAGACUGAAAGCCGGAGGCAGGGAGACGUCUCAGUGGGUAAAGAGCUGGCCCUGAGAACCUUGUGAGCUGAGUUUGGAUCCACAGAACUUGCGGAAAGCUGGGCGCAGGUGCACAAACGCUCCUGCAGUGAGUCGGGAGCAGAGACAGCGACACCCUGGAAGCGAGCAGGCCCGCUAUCCUGCUCGCACACCCGAGACUGCUCCAGCCCCGGUGAGGACCGACACCCGAGACAGCCUUCUCAUGCGCAGGCCUGAACUGUACCCAUCGCACACAGAGCACACAGGAGUGGGAGCCCUGAUAGACGUGUAAAUGGUGAAGUUUAAAAAUUGUAGCAUGCCGAAGUCUGGUUUUUGAUAAGUAAGUUCUAACUGAAGUUCCAGUUUCUGUUUACAGACUCUGUGUCUUGUGGGCUCUCAGCUGAUCUUUGCUCCGCGUUGUGAGUCCGUUUUCUUGUAGAAGUGUAUAGUUCAAGUGUUAUGAUCCAUUGUAGACUGACCGUUGUGUGUGGUGUGAAGCAGGGGUGAGCUUUUCUGUUCGCUUUUGAUUCUGUUUCUUUGUUCGAUCGUCCAGUUGUCCAGUGUGAUUGAAGAUUUUGCUUUUUACAGUGAGUACGCAAACAGAGGCAAGAAAGAAAGACAGGAAGGUAGGAAGGGAGGACAGUGGGGAAAGGGAAGGGGUGAGAGAGACGGACAGACAGGGUGAGGGAGGAAGAGUAGGUGAGAGAACAGGCCCUCUGGGUACUGGUCUGUCUUGGACUUGCCUUUCCUUUCCCAAGCGUCUGCCUUCAUGCCAGGUCCCACGAUCCUGAGUACAUCACCUGUACAGUGAGUUUUAAAACCAGGCAGAAUAAAGUCAAUGCUUCCUUUUAA
Long non-coding RNA from Peromyscus californicus insignis, 1926 nucleotides. RefSeq lists it as uncharacterized. The record is from RefSeq and is a predicted model, not a curated record. NCBI's taxonomy places the organism in Eukaryota, Metazoa, Chordata, Mammalia, Rodentia, Cricetidae. The transcript is spliced from 2 exons.